Molecule: non-coding RNA, 1621 nt
Organism: Danio rerio (zebrafish)
Lineage: Eukaryota; Metazoa; Chordata; Actinopteri; Cypriniformes; Danionidae
Source: RefSeq, a predicted model, not a curated record
UGUGUAACUUUGGACACAUUGUGUGUUAAUAUUGUGCUUAACUGUUUACACAAUGACUGUGUUAAACACAUUUAAACAGUAUGUUGGAAUACAAUGCAUUUUUGCCUGUAGUCAAAUGGCACUGUGUUAUGAGUUUAUGUAGUUUAUUUAUCAUGAUGGUAAUAUAAAAUAAGCAUUUGUGAGUAUGUGGCUAAAAAUUCUAUAUUUCGGGGUUUAUACUGUGAAUUUCUGCACGCGCAUGCGCAGUGACGUUCUUUUUCAACUGACGCUCUCCCAGAGCUCUAUCGGAUAACGCACCUCUCUGCCUCAGGAGAUGGAAGUCGAGGAACAAAUUACAGUCACUCUUAACACUUCUACACCGCGUUCUUGCAACUGUCUUCAUAGACAGAAAGGAAAUAUGGAGAAAACUAUUCACAGAUGGCAAUGUUGGAGAUCUGAUAGCCUUAGUCAAACAGGUCUCAACUAUCUUUUGAUUGAAUAUUGAAAUUUGACAGAUUUUCAAGUUCAUUGACACUGAUGUAAAUGCAGGAGUAAAGGAGCUUGGCAAAUUUCAAAUAUAUUAUAUUGCAAGCAAUACCCCGGACUCAUUAGAAAGAAGUGUGCACUCAUUACAGUGUCCUUUAACAGAUUCAACUCAGACUGGCAACACAACUAGUUUGCUGACGCUGCUUGAAGAAAAGCCUCUUCAAUCCUGAGAGAACAUGAAGACUGUCAAAAAGUUGCUGUCAGUGUCCUUGUAGAGAAACAUGGAUUGUGACUAUCCUUCUGGUAUAGAAAAGCUGGUACUAGCAAAAGAGAUUCUGUCAUUGUUCCCCUCAGGUGCCCUUUGGUGAAAAUGAGGGACAUGAGAAUGCCAUCACACAGUCGGACGGAAGCUUCAACAGAGCCAGUGGGUGUACAGUUUAAAACAUCAUCAUUGUACACCGCAACCUUCUUCACCAAGUCCAGAUGAAACCGUACCAAUUACAGAAGAAGAUGGAUAACAACAAAAUCCCUUCAAAAUCUCUUGCUGAAAUCUUCAAGGACUAUCCCAGAUUUCUUGACAUGCCAGCUUUGAUGGACAUUGAAUUUUCCAAGCUCACAGAUAGGAACGAAGACUUGUUUAUCCAGAAAAGGGAAGGGACGAUAAUUCCAGAACUCAAAGAAAUAGCAUCUUGGAGAAGAAAAUUGACAUCAGACUCUUACUGAAGAUGGCUGACAAUCAGCAUGAUGAUGAGCUGUUAAACUGUUAAAGAUCCUUAUUCAUCUUCUUCCACCCACUGCCUCUGGGAGAAGUGUUGCUGGGAGUAAAUGCUGUGUGACUUCUGCUGUGUCCUACCUGUUGGAGCAAUUGCCGGCUGGUACCACCGUUACAUCUUUGCUCACUGAAUCCAUGAAAGGGACCCUGAAGUCAGCUCAGCCGCAGUUGGUUUCUAUUGGUUGUCUAGGACAUGGAUCCUUGUACGUGUACGUGUACUUGUAGCUGUGGCAAAGAAUGACUCUUUUGCUCUUUCACUCGAUCCUGAAAGCCUGACCUGUGCUGUAGACAGACUUUUCAAAUUCUUCUGGCUGUGCAAUCUUCAGUAUUCAUGCCAACUGUCUUCUGUUUUUUUUUUUUUUUGAGUAUAUAUAUAUAUAUAUA